UACGUAGGGUGCGAGCGUUGUCCGGAAUUAUUGGGCGUAAAGAGCUUGUAGGCGGUUUGUCGCGUCUGCUGUGAAAUCUCAAGGCUCAACCUUGAGCUUGCAGUGGGUACGGGCAGACUAGAGUGUGGUAGGGGAGACUGGAAUUCCUGGUGUAGCGGUGAAAUGCGCAGAUAUCAGGAGGAACACCGGUGGCGAAGGCGGAUCUCUGGGCCUUACCUGACGCUCGAGGUGCGAAAAGCCUAGGGGAGCGAACAGG
This 256-nucleotide ribosomal RNA is filed under the name uncultured bacterium. Its description in RNAcentral is "partial 16S ribosomal RNA". It matches the Rfam family "Bacterial small subunit ribosomal RNA", at positions 524 to 776 of the family's 1533-position model. The record is from RNAcentral.